This 1061-nucleotide unclassified non-coding RNA is filed under the name Cimex lectularius (bed bug). RNAcentral's name for it is "uncharacterized LOC106673146, transcript variant X1". Lineage: Eukaryota; Metazoa; Arthropoda; Insecta; Hemiptera; Cimicidae. The record is from RNAcentral.
AUUAAUAUAACUCAUGUAGAGACGAUUUUGACACACUAUACGGCAUGGAGUUAAAUUAAUGAAUGGAAGCCUCUUUGUUAUCAAUAUUCCUCUCUCUUGCAAUUAACUCCCAUUUAAACAAUCAAUUAGCUUCAUUUUUCAAAUUUUCUGCAAAAUUGUUCACACAUUUGUAAUUUAGUCGAGAAAAAUAGUAAUCAUAUUAAUCUUGUCUUUGUUUCCAUGGUCCUUUAAAAUACAGCUGCAAUUUUAUCGGCACUUAUUUUACCAGCACUUACAACAAAACAAUAUCCACGGAAACAUGUGAUAGCUGAAAACGCAAGUUUUUAAAACGGCCCAAAAACAUGGAGAACAAAGUGUCCAUGCCUCGUUUUAAAAACUUGAAUUGUCAGCAAUCUUCACCUUUUAGAAAAGGCAGGGGUGAAAACAAAAAAGUCAGCGUAAGAUAAGGAGGGCUGUAGAUCUAUGCAUCAACCUAAGUGUGAAGAAGAUAGCUGCAAUCGAGUAGCCUACGGAACGGCCGGAAGGAUAUAAUGGAAAAACAGUAAUAGACACGGAAAAUCUCGAGUAUCACGACUUCCCGAAGAAAUCCAGCAUGAAAAAGCGGUUUACCGAGAUGAAUUUCUUGAGCCAGAACCCCUCGUUAGAGUCUCAAGACUGCAGCGGUCAGUACGAGCACUUCGGCCUCUGCAUGGCCAAGAAGAUCAAAGACAUGCCCUCGGAGCAGAGGAUCUUCGCCGAAAAGAUCAUUUCCGAGGUGGUCUUCUACGGUCAACUCGGUCAACUGACAAAGAAGUCGGCGCAACAAUUCUCCACGCUGGUGAUGAAGAACGCUGAGGAUACGGAAAAUUCCCAGACGAAACCCACCGGAUCGACCAUGGCCCGCGAGACUGAUUUCGAAUUUCCACAGACUUACGUUCUGUCUCUCCCGAGCGAUUUGAAACCACCCGCCAGGGAUUGCCCCGUUCACGAUAGUCACAUACAAAUCGUGAGGAAAUGCGCCUGUAAAAAUAAGAAAGGAACGUGUUGCGGCAAAAAAUAAAGGAUGUAUUCAACAAAAAAUA